This 445-nucleotide ribosomal RNA is filed under the name uncultured bacterium. RNAcentral describes it as "partial 16S ribosomal RNA". It matches the Rfam family "Bacterial small subunit ribosomal RNA", at positions 354 to 796 of the family's 1533-position model. The record is from RNAcentral.
GUAGGGAAUAUUGGACAAUGGGCGAAAGCCUGAUCCAGCCAUGCCGCGUGAUAGAUGAAGGCCCUCUGGGUUGUAAAUAUCUUUUAUCUGGGAAGAAACUCCUCUAUUCUUAGAGGCCUGACGGUACCAGAGGAAUAAGCACCGGCUAACUCCGUGCCAGCAGCCGCGGCAAUACGGAGGGUGCAAGCGUUAUCCGGAUUCACUGGGUUUAAAGGGUGCGUAGGCGGGUUGAUAAGUCAGUGGUGAAAGCUCCGGGCUUAACUUGGAAACUGCCAUUGAUACUGUCAGUCUUGAAUGUCGUAGAGGUAAGCGGAAUGUUGCAUGUAGCGGUGAAAUGCUUAGAUAUGUUACAGAACACCAAUUGCGAAGGCAGCUUACUAUGCGAUAAUUGACGCUGAGGCACGAAAGCGUGGGGAGCAAACAGGAUUAGAUACCCUAGUAGUCC